CCCAAGACUAGAGUUACGUUCUGACAUGAUUACUUGUCCUGGCAUGCUAGAUUUCUUGAAGAGGAUCGGCUUGUCUUGGUUCACCAGUGGGAGCAGUCAGUGCCCCUAUUGGUGCCCUGAACAGAAACAUGU
Nannospalax galili (Upper Galilee mountains blind mole rat) is the source of this 132-nucleotide small nucleolar RNA. Lineage: Eukaryota; Metazoa; Chordata; Mammalia; Rodentia; Spalacidae. The record is from Ensembl.